This 353-nucleotide long non-coding RNA is filed under the name Mytilus galloprovincialis (Mediterranean mussel). The record is from RNAcentral. Lineage: Eukaryota; Metazoa; Mollusca; Bivalvia; Mytilida; Mytilidae.
GUAGUUAUCAGCCAGGAACCAGUUUACACUCGGUUUCAUAAUUUACUAUACAAACAAACUGGUUCCUGCUUGUAUUCCACUACACUCGAACAAAGUGUUGUAGUUUGACGGGAACCAGUUUAGAAUUUGUAAACUACAAAACGUAAUCGGUUAUUGUUCAUUCCGUUUUGGUGUUUCAUACCGACUUAUAUGGUUUGAAUAAGCUUAAGACCCUUCAAACAUUAAUGUGAUAGGUAUAUUAAAGACUGUUUUACAAAAGGAUGGAACUGUUUUACUUUCAAAGUCGUACUAUAGUGAUAUCUGUCAUGUACGGAUUUCCACUCUCACCGGUUAAUUUCUUCUUUUACACGUGC